UGAAGGUCUGCGGAGGCGUCUAGAGGAGUGUGAGGAGGAGAGCGACUGUGACAGCAGGAGAACACAAGAGGAGGCAGAACCUGCUAAAGGAGCCGAGCGGCAUCAGUCGGCGGUGAACAGCGACGUGGCGGCGUUUGCGCUGAAGGCGAGGGUGGUGUAUCCCAUCAACCAGAGAUACAGACCGCUAGCAGACGGAGCCUCCAACCCUUCCCUGCACGAGCCACCCAAGUGCCAGGCCCCGCCCAGCCAGGACUCCGCCUCCUCGCUGGGUGAUGAUUGGCUGAGCCAAAACAGGGACGAUGAUGAUGAAAGUAGUCAGUUCGUCCCCUGCGGCCCCUCGUCUAAAACACACACCAGUCACGUGUUCAGGAGAGUCCGGCACUACCCACAAACCCUGUGUCACUCACGGUCAGACAAACUCAUGCGC
Molecule: long non-coding RNA, 427 nt
Organism: Sinocyclocheilus grahami
Lineage: Eukaryota; Metazoa; Chordata; Actinopteri; Cypriniformes; Cyprinidae
Exons: 3
Source: RefSeq, a predicted model, not a curated record